GCUCACUAGUCGAGGGUCCGGGCAUGGAUAAUAAUCGGGUAUAAGGCAGACACCGAAGGCGCGGGAUAGCAUUUAAGAAAGUAUCGGUAGGGGAGCAUACUCACAGCGUUGAAUGGUGUGCGUAAGUUAUCCUGGAGCGGUGAGUAAAGCAAAUGUAGGAAUAAGUAACGAUAAGGAGGGUUAGAUUCCCUCCCGCUGUAAGACCAAGGUUUCCCGGGCAAUGCCAAUCAGCCCGGGGUCAGUCGGGUCCUAAGUCUAAGCCGAACGGCGAUGGCGAUGGCAGAGACGGUUAAUAUUCCGUCACUGCCGCAUGGGGCGACGUGGAGACGGAGCAGUGAAACCACCGCGGGGCGACGGAAGUCCCCGUUGAAGAGUGUAGGCGUUGAGGAUGGCAGGCAAAUCCACCGUCCGAGCUGAACUUGAUAGUAUGGAGUCUUCUUCGGAAGAAUCCAAUAGUGUGGGUAAUCAUACUCCCGAGAAAAUCCGCUAAGCUUAACCCAUGCGGCACCCGUACCGCAAACGGACACACGUGGUCGGGUAGAACAUACUGAGGCGUUGAGAGAUUCAUGGUUAAGGAACUAGGCAAAUUGACCCUGUAACUUCGGGAUAAAGGGUCCUCGUGAAGAGCGAGGCGCAGAGAAUAGGUCCAGGCAACUGUUUAACAAAAACACAGGGCUGUGCAAACUCGAAAGAUGACGUAUACAGCCUGACACCUGCCCGGUGCCGGAAGGUUAAGAGGAGAUGUCACACUUAUGUGGAAGCAUUGAAUUGAAGCCCCGGUAAACGGCGGCCGUAACAAUAACGGUCCUAAGGUAGCGAAAUUCCUUGUCGGGUAAGUUCCGACCUGCACGAAUGGUGUAAUGAUUCGGACGCUGUCUCAACCAUGAGCUCAGUGAAAUUGUAGUAUCGGUGAAGAUGCCGAUUACCCGCGAUGGGACGAAAAGACCCCGUGAACCUUUACUACAGCUUAGCAUUGACCUUGGUCAUCCGAUGUGUAGGAUAGGCCGGAGGCUUCGAAGCGGGAGCGCCAGCUUUCGUGGAGCCAUCCUUGAAAUACGGCCCUUUGGCUGUCUGAGGUCUAACGCGCGAUGCGCGGACACUGCUUGGUGGGUAGUUUGACUGGGGUGGUCGCCUCCAAAAGCGUAACGGAGGCUUCCAAAGGUGCCCUCGGGUCGAUUGGUAACCGACCUCAAAGAGUGCAAUGGCAUAAGGGCGCUUGACUGGGAGGCAGACAUGCCGAGCAGGCAGGAAACUGGGGCAUAGUGAUCCGGCGGAUGUGUAUGGAAACUCCGUCGCUCAAAGGAUAAAAGGUACUCCGGGGAUAACAGGCUGAUCCCCCCCAAGAGCUCAUAUAGACGGGGUGGUUUGGCACCUCGAUGUCGGCUCGUCACAUCCUGGGGCUGGAGAAGGUCCCAAGGGUUGGGCUGUUCGCCCAUUAAAGUGGCACGCGAGCUGGGUUCAGAACGUCGUGAGACAGUUCGGUCUCUAUCUAUCGUGGGCGUGGGAGUUUUGCGUGGUGCCGUCACUAGUACGAGAGGACCGUGAUGGACAGACCUCCGGUUUACCAGUUGUGCCGCCAGGCGCACCGCUGGGUAUCUGAGUCUGGAUUGGAUAAGCGCUGAAAGCAUCUAAGUGCGAAGCCAGCCGCAAGAUGAGAACUCCAUUGAGGGUCGUCAGAGACGAUGACGUUGAUAGGAUGCAGGUGUAAAGACAGCGAUGUCAAAGCCGAGCAUUACUAAUUGCCU
This 1745-nucleotide ribosomal RNA is filed under the name metagenome. RNAcentral's name for it is "bacterial LSU rRNA". It matches the Rfam family "Bacterial large subunit ribosomal RNA", at positions 1140 to 2910 of the family's 2925-position model. The record is from RNAcentral.